This 398-nucleotide ribosomal RNA is filed under the name uncultured bacterium. RNAcentral's name for it is "bacterial SSU rRNA". It matches the Rfam family "Bacterial small subunit ribosomal RNA", at positions 28 to 417 of the family's 1533-position model. The record is from RNAcentral.
GACGAACGCUGACGGUGUGCUUUAGACAUGCAAGUCGAACGAGAAAGCCCUUCGGGUUAGUAAAGUAGGCGAACGGGUGAGUAACACGUGGGCAAUCUGCCCCUCGCAGGGGGACGAACCGGAGGAAACCCCGGCUAAUACCCCGUAACGUUCAAAGGGAGGCAUCUCCCCUUGAAGAAAGGUAGCUUCGGCCAUCCGGCGAGGGAUGAGCCCGCGGUGCAUUAGCUAGUUGGUGGGGUAACGGCCCACCAAGGCGACGAUGCAUAGCUGGUCUGAGAGGAUGAUCAGCCACACUGGGACUGAGACACGGCCCAGACUCCUACGGGAGGCAGCAGUCGGGAAUCUUGCGCAAUGGGCGAAAGCCUGACGCAGCAACACCGUGUGUGUGAGGAAGGCCC